GCUGGUAACUUGGCACAAGCAAGCAUUGUCUGCUUUGUUGUACAUUAGUGGAAGAAAUCAGCGCGAAUUUUUUGGAUGACGAAGUGUCCCUGGCAGGAGGGAGGGGAAGCAGAAUGUUACACAGGCUGACUUUGUUUUGCUGCACCCUGACUGAAAAUUCAGGCCAGGAUUGGCAUCACUAACUGGUACUUGACCACACAGUCAUUUUCAUAUCCCGAAGCCUUCUCUUCUUUAAGGUUGAUGCUGUGUGGCUUCUAAAAGCACAAGGAAUAGAAAGGCAAAAUUCCACUCCGACAUUGCACUCUGCUAUGGGCAGCAGCCAAGUUUGUGAGCAGCAGCAGCAGCAACAGAUAUGUUCCAUUUCUACUCUCAACAACUCCAAUCAGCAUGGCCCAUGGCAAGAGAUGAUGAAACUCACAAUCAACAAUACUGGAAGGGUCCCAACGGAGGUAGCCGUGCCAGCAAGGAGCCUCCACGGCACUGGAGUUCCAGUAAACGAGGCUCUGAAAGCAAUUUCUGCAUAGUUUCCUGGUGCAAGGUGAUUUGAGUUGACAGUUCCUGCAAAGAUGAAAAGCUACAGAUGACAACAGAGCAAAGGUGAUAGGCAGGGCCAACAAAAUGAGAAAAGUCCCACAAAGACUGACAUGAUAGCAAGUACUUUAGUAUGCCGUGAAAAAUUAACAAGCCUCCUACCACUACAAAAGAAGCCCACUGGACCUCUGAACAUUCUAUGCUUUAAAGAUCAAUGCAUUUGCUAUAGUUUUAUUAUUUAGCUUGUUUCUUUUAGUCACAGGGAACAACAGAUGUCUAUUCAAAUUCCACUUGGAAAACUAUUUCCGAUGAAUGACCUAGUUCUUAUGAAUAACAAGCUUAUUUUUCACUGAGAUGGUAAACAUUAGUUGGCUUGUACCACUUCUAAUUGAAAAUUUGGCUCUUAGUACUGACUGCCUCUUCACUCUAAAUAAAAAUAGUCCUUCCUUUAAGAAAACUGGAAGACUAGAAUUUUAUACACCAGACAUCUUUAUCUUAUUAUGUUUCUGGGAAGAAUGUACCACAUGGUUCUAAACCAUGAAAGCCAGCCUGGUGAAUUUGGGCCAGUCAUCUCUUAGCCCAACCCAACUCACAGGGUUGUUGUGGGGAAAAUAGGAAGAGAAAGUUGUAUUGGAUAUGUUUGCUACCUUGAGUUAUUUGUAAAAAUAAUAAAGAUGGGAUACAAUAAAUAAAUGCAUGAAUAAAUACAUCUUGUGGUCUAAAGUA
Molecule: long non-coding RNA, 1257 nt
Organism: Crotalus tigris (Tiger rattlesnake)
Lineage: Eukaryota; Metazoa; Chordata; Lepidosauria; Squamata; Viperidae
Exons: 3
Source: RefSeq, a predicted model, not a curated record